GAUGAACGCUAGCUACAGGCUUAACACAUGCAAGUCGAGGGGAAACGACAUCGAAAGCUUGCUUUUGAUGGGCGUCGACCGGCGCACGGGUGAGUAACGCGUAUCCAACCUGCCCAUCACUUGGGAAUAACCUUGCGAAAGUAAGACUAAUACCCAAUGAUAUCCCACGAAGGCAUCGGAAUGGGAUUAAAGAUUUAUCGGUGAUGGAUGGGGAUGCGUCUGAUUAGCUUGUUGGCGGGGUAACGGCCCACCAAGGCAACGAUCAGUAGGGGUUCUGAGAGGAAGGUCCCCCACAUUGGAACUGAGACACGGUCCAAACGCCUACGGGAGGCAGCAGUGAGGAAUAUUGACCAAUGGGCGAGAGCCUGAACCAGCCAAGUAGCGUGCAGGAAGACGGCCCUAUGGGUUGUAAACUGCUUUUAUAAGGGAAUAAAGUGGGUCACGUGUGACUUUUUGCAUGUACCUUAUGAAUAAGGACCGGCUAAUUCCGUG
This 492-nucleotide ribosomal RNA is filed under the name uncultured bacterium. Its description in RNAcentral is "partial 16S ribosomal RNA". It matches the Rfam family "Bacterial small subunit ribosomal RNA", at positions 28 to 507 of the family's 1533-position model. The record is from RNAcentral.